This 231-nucleotide unclassified non-coding RNA is filed under the name fungal sp. RNAcentral's name for it is "partial internal transcribed spacer region". The stretch from base 1 to 46 matches the Rfam family "Eukaryotic small subunit ribosomal RNA", at positions 1786 to 1831 of the family's 1831-position model. Lineage: Eukaryota; Fungi. The record is from RNAcentral. RNAcentral also lists the same sequence under 1 other name.
AAGUCGUAACAAGGUUUCCGUAGGUGAACCUGCGGAAGGAUCAUUAAAAGAAUCUGCCUCACCCACAGAUAUCUUAUCACGUGUGAACUGUCUAGCUUGUCACCCGAGAUGGACACCUCAGAGAUCUCGGUCUUUGGGGGGUCUGUCUUGGGGGUCAGCUUAUGCUACUGAUUGUGCCCCGAGAAUCUUUAAAAGACUAUAAAACUUUUAGCAAUGGAUCUCUAGGCUCCU